RNAcentral lists this ribosomal RNA (253 nucleotides) under uncultured bacterium. RNAcentral describes it as "partial 16S ribosomal RNA". It matches the Rfam family "Bacterial small subunit ribosomal RNA", at positions 524 to 776 of the family's 1533-position model. The record is from RNAcentral.
UACAGAGGGUGCGAGCGUUAAUCGGAAUUACUGGGCGUAAAGCGCGUGUAGGCGGCUCGGAAAGUCGGAUGUGAAAGCCCUGGGCUUAACCUAGGAAGUGCAUUCGAAACUCCCGAGCUUGAGUUCUGGAGAGGAAGGCGGAAUUCUCGGUGUAGAGGUGAAAUUCGUAGAUAUCGAGAGGAACACCGGUGGCGAAGGCGGCCUUCUGGACAGUGACUGACGCUGAGACGCGAAAGCGUGGGGAGCAAACAGG